Molecule: ribosomal RNA, 501 nt
Filed under: uncultured bacterium
Lineage: Bacteria
Description: partial 16S ribosomal RNA
Rfam family: Bacterial small subunit ribosomal RNA
Source: RNAcentral
AUUGAACGCUGGCGGCAGGCUUAACACAUGCAAGUCGAGCGGAGAUGAGGUGCUUGCACCUUAUCUUAGCGGCGGACGGGUGAGUAAUGCUUAGGAAUCUGCCUAUUAGUGGGGGACAACAUUCCGAAAGGAAUGCUAAUACCGCAUACGUCCUACGGUAGAAAGCAGGGGAUCUUCGGACCUUGCGCUACAAUAUGAGCCUAAGUCGGAUUAGCUAGUUGGUGGGGUAAAGGCCUACCAAGGCGACGAUCUGUAGCGGGUCUGAGAGGAUGAUCCGCCACACUGGGACUGAGACACGGCCCAGACUUCUACGGGAGGCAGCAGUGGGGAAUAUUGGACAAUAGGGGGAACCCUGAUCCAGCCAUGCCGCGUGUGUGAAGAAGGCCUUAUGGUUGUAAAGCACUUUAAGCGAGGAGGAGGCUACUGAGACUAAUACUCUUGGAUAGUGGACGUUACUCGCAGAAUAAGCACCGGCUAACUCUGUGCCAGCAGCCGCAGUAA